Tympanuchus pallidicinctus (lesser prairie-chicken) is the source of this 3520-nucleotide long non-coding RNA. RefSeq lists it as uncharacterized. The transcript has 2 exons. Lineage: Eukaryota; Metazoa; Chordata; Aves; Galliformes; Phasianidae. The record is from RefSeq and is a predicted model, not a curated record.
GGUGCAUGUGAAGAGGUUCAUUCUCUUGGGGAUUCUCACAUCUCACAGCAGCGAAGGUGGAAUGCCUCCCAAGCACUACUCUCCCUCCUAUUACGAUGCUCUGCACAGGAAAAAGAAAUGGGAAGGAGUGAACUGGAGAAAUAUGAACUGACGAGGGAAAAACAGAUACAUGCAUUCUUACAGAAUGCCAAUCCCUAAAUAGCAGCAGGAAAUAAUACAGUAAAAAUUAUAUCCAUUGCACUCAUCUCCUCUCCCCGAAGAAAGAAACUCAGACAGAUGAUGCUCUUUUGUGAGCAACUAGCAGAAUGAUUUUAAACAAUGUGGCUUGCUGGUUUUGGGGGCUUUAACUACUCCAACAGUUUUGAAGAAAAUGAAAAACCAAGGCACAGCCUGCUCUGUGCAUGUGACACUGGCAUUUUGUCAUACAGCAUUUCCAGAGUUGGCUCCAAACAAGAGAGGGGAGUGUAGAGGGGAGGACAGAGUCCAUGAAAGACUUAAGGAUUCUUAUGCCUCAGUGAGUGAAGAAAGGAAAGCACACAGCUGGAGGCAGAGGACUUGAAGGCAGCAGACUUCAAUGAACUCAGAGGAUAUUUGCAGAGAUAAGACUAAUAUUGGCCACUGAUUUAUGGAGAAAAACAGAUUAUUUGACAGAUGGUUGAGAUGUGGAGCUGUCAACUGGAUGCCUGAAAUGCCUUCUAAAGAGCCACAAGCUCACUUUUUUCUAUGGAGGUAUUCUAGAGACCUUAAGCUCCUUAAACAAAAUUAGCUCUUCUGAAUAGAUAUUUACAAUGUUACACUGACCAGAAACAAUUGCAAUAUCAUGGGUGAAUCACCACGACAUUAUAGUAGCACUGUAAUAUCAUAAUUUUGGAUACAUAUCUUACGUACCUCUGUAUCUUGGUUGUGGUUGGACUGUUGCUGUACACUGAGCUUCUGGGUGAGUGUUCCAUUGUUAUCAUAGAAUCAUAGAAUCCUUUGAGUUGUAAGGGAUCCUUAAAGGCCAUUUAGUUCAACCUUCCAGCCUUGUACAAGGACACCUACAGCUACAUUAGAUGCUCAGAGCCCUGUCCAACCUGACCUUGGGUGUCUCCAGGGAUUGGGGAUCCACCACCUCUCUGGGCAACCUGUGCCAGUGCCUCACCACCUCUAUUGUAAAAACCUUUUUCCUUAUAUCCAAUCUAAAUCUCCCCUCUUUUUAUUUGAAACUGUUGGGAAAAUUUCUGCUCUGAUAGGCUGGCCCAGUUAUCUUUAUUCCAAAAAGAGACAAAGGCUUUCUUUAUUCAAAUAAAGGGAGAGUCAACUAGGGGCAUAUCCCUGGAGGAUCUCUCGAAGUAUCGAGGGACAGAGCCCAUCUUUUAUCCCUGUACCCCUAUGCUAAGUAAGCCCUUCCUACUUUCCCCAUUGUUUAAGGUACUCAGGGUUCACAUACUUCUCAGUUUGCUGCACUCAUCCCCAGUAAGUACACUCCUUCAUUUCCUUUGUUUGUACAUACUUUGUAAUCUGGAUUCAGUUUGCUGUUUUGUAACCUGUGAAGUCUAUCACUCUUUGUUCUGUUCAGCAAACAGGAUUUACACACAGGUGCUAAGCUAGCACCUUCUGCCAUAUACCUGCAAGACAAGUUUGUUUAACUAGUUCUUCUUCUCUGAUCUUACUUUUCAAGGACAUCUUCUCCUUUCUUCUUUCAUCUCAAAACCAUUUCUCCUUGUCCUAUCAGAGCAGACCUUGGUAAAGAGUCUUUCCCCUUCCUUCUUACAGCCCCCUGUAGGUACCAACAAGCCACUCUCAGGUCACCCCACAGCCUUCUCUUUUCCAGGCUGAACAGCCCCAACUCUCUCAGCCUGUCCUCAUAGGGGAGGUGUUCCAUCCCUUGGAUGAACUUGUCCUGGCUUCUUGUCUUAACUUUGUUGGUGGCUGCUCUGGACCAAGCACUGUACAGAGAGCUUCAUCCACUGGAUGUGAUUUUGCAUUUGUGAGCAACAGCUUUACAAUCUGUCCAUGCACUGGGCUGGAGAGAAUGCUUAGGAAUUAUUAACUCCUUGUUGUCUCUGCUUAAUCUAAAUAACUUUGUGUCACCUUCGAAUCUACCUUCCCCAACUAUUUUGUGUGGUUUCUUAUUAAAGGAUUAUUUUUCAAUCAUCUUCUGUUCAAGGAAAAUGAGGUAUGAAAACAUAGUCAGUUUGAGUUGAAUGUUAUGUAAUCCUAAGUGGCAUCAAGACUUCCAUUGUUACUCUGAAGUAAAUUAAUAAUAUCCCUAAUCGAAAGCAUUUUGCUUUGCUAACUGACUUUGCUGUUUUUGCAAAAGUGAUUGCAGUAUAUACUGGGCAGUACAACUUCAGGCAAUAACCUCCUUCAAAAUGUGCACCAUAACAUGGCAUAUAACACACAGGAUCCAGAUUUAUGUGUUUCUCUAAUAAGGGGAAUUGCAGUGUUGAAAUGGUAAAGCUCAGAUUUAACCUGUUGUAAGUUUUCCCCCUUUCAUAUCUUGUGAGAGAUCCAUUGCCAACAGCAAAUGUUGAAGUAACAGGAUAGAUCAGUUUGGAGAAGGUCUUGGAAGAUCUGUAGAAAUAAAGCAACAGCCAGCUGGGCAUAUGAAAGGGUAGAACCUCACGUUUGCUAGCAAGGGGUUUAUUUGUGUAGAGUCCUAAGAAUUCCAGGUACUGACAUGCCCACCUCUGUCAAUUGGUCUCCUCUCAACUAUGGUGGGCAGCCUAUAUGCCUCCAGAGUUGAACACCUCAACAAGAUCCCUUCUCUCUGUACUUAUCCUUCUUUCUUAAGUUCCCUUCUUACCAGGCUUCUAAUAAAAUUCUGUUUUCAGGAUACUGCCAUCUAAUGCCUUUCCCCUGUGCUGGUUAGUCUCCUCUUGGGAAGUAAGUAAGCAAUUGAGGAAGAAGCAUCUUGGGCAUCGUCCAUCUUGGGUGAUGGGCUGACAUCUCCACCUGUGGUGAUCCUAACCACAGUUCCCUUUUACCUCCACUCUUCCCCCAUCAGGGUUCCUUCACUCUAGCACAACCUCAAAAAUAGCUAAAAGAGAAGAGGAUUUCUCUGUAAUUUUUACAAUCAUGAAAGUAAGAACUCCCACUUUCUUCUUCCCUGGUUAAUGUCCUAAAUUCUCUUGUACCUGUGUAAACAACUAGGAAAGACUGACUUUGAAAUUAUGCCCCUCCUGCCUUUUUUUGGGUCCAGCAGUUUAAGAGAUUUCACGGAUUUUGGACUUAAUGAUCAUUGUAGGCCCCUUCCAAUUGAAGCUGUUCUAUUCUAUUCUUAUUUUGCUUUUAGGACAAAAUUAGAUUCACUGAAAUGAUUAGCAGCUUUAUUAAGUGUUAAACAUGCAGCUGUACUAAAUAAGUUGAAUUAAUUUAACUGUAAAUAAGAGCCAAAAUUCAGUAUAAUCAAAUUAGUACAAUGAGCUGCAAUAACAGCUAUUGAAACAAAAUGAUGCAAUGUCAACUGCAUUUACAAUUUAUGCUGAUCUGGAAAAAAAAAAAAAAAAAAAAAAAAAGGUACCUGGGAAGACUGUCA